CUCUUAAAGGGACAUGAACCUAAUACGGCGAACCAAAGGCAGGCCCAGUUCUAGGGACAUUCCUUGCUCGUCCGGUUUAAAAGGACACCCUGUCACGCUGAAAAACGAGAAGCCAUUAGGGUUAAACCCUAAUGGUUUUGCUGUCUAUUGGGAACCGGCCUAAAAGAGACCACAAGUUCCCUUUAGAAAACCCAUCAAAUGCAUAUAGAUCCAGCCGUUGGUCACCUGUUAAACCGUUAGGAUCCUUUAUAUUGUGAUCUAAACCCAUUAAAAAGCCAGAACAUGUAACAAAAACAGGAACCAACAGAAGCACUUAAUGGUUUCUAUGGGUUUUUCAGCAGAGUGCUUACUUGCCUUCUGCAGAGACACCACAUUUGUCUCUAGAGUGUGCAGUGGGUAGCGCUGUUGCCUCACAGCAAGGGGGCCUGGGUUCGAUUCCCCAGCCGGGGUCCUCUGUGUGUGGAGUUUGCACGUUCUCCCUGUGUCUGCGUGGGUUUCCUCCCACAGUCCAAAGACAUGCAGUCAGACCAGUUGGACAUGCUACAUUCCCCCUAGGUGUGACUGUCUGUCUGCCCUGCAAUGGACUGGUGACCUGUCCAGGGUGUAUCCUGCCUUCCGCCCGAUGACUGCUGGGAUAGGCUCCAGCACGACCCUGAGGGAGAAGCGGCUUAGAAAAUGGAUGGAAGACUCGGAAAGCCCCCGUCUGGUGAUGCAUCUUGAAGGGGGGUGCUGGGGCCUAGUCAUCGGGCGGAAGGCAGGAUACACCCUGGACAGGUCACCAGUCCAUCGCAGAGAAGUCAGACAGUCAUUCACACCCAGGGGCAAUGUAGCAUGUCCAAUUGGCCUGGCUGCAUGUCUUUGAACUGUGGGAGGAAACCGACGCAGGGAGAACAUGCAAACUCCAUACAGAGAGGACCCCAGUCGCCCGACUGGGGAAUCGAACCCAGGCUCUCCUCGCUGCGAGGUGACAGCGCUACCCACCACGCCACCGUGCCACCCGGGUAUAAAAACAUGACAUGAAAAAAAUUAAAAUUAGCCUGUCCAUUUAGCACCAGCUCUGAUAGCAUUGCUGCUAGGACUCAUUUCACGCCACAUACUGAGAGUAAUAACUGUUUUCAAAUCAUCAUUAGUGGAGAGAAUGAAGAAAAACAGGAAUGACUGAGAUAAGGAGGGCAACAAGCUAAAAGCCAAAGUUAGCAAUGUAGCUACCACAGCUGUCUAGAUGAUUUACCUCAGUCUGGCUUUUUUCUCUGGUUGAAAGGAUAAAAAAACUGGAGUCAGUGUUCAUUAAAGACAGAAUUACUGUUUUCUUUACAAACGUUGACAGUUGAGGUGUUAGCCUCAUGCUAGGUCAUUUGUUUUUAUUAGCCUAUACUUCAGUGGCUAGGCUAGCAGUCAGGAUCAGUUAACACCACAGGGAUUCUCAAUGGUUGUAUGAUGUAUAACAGGUACUGUGGUGAAGAAACAUUGAUGAAUGAAAAUAAAAUAGAAAUGUGAGUUCUUCCAAACUGACAGGACUUCCUGACUAGGUUUUAGCUUCACAAAGCCAAAUAAAGUGAAUGUCAGCUCAGGUUUAGUCAAGCUAACGUUAAUCCAUGAUGAAUAACCAGUCGCAUGGAACACGGAGAGGCGCAGGACGGCUUACCAGUCAGCAGCUGAGCGAUUUGAAGAAGAUCCUGCGAUCAUAAUGGCAGAAAGCAGCUCAGUAGUGUAGUGCUGGGGGUGCUGCUGUACACCUAAUUUGCCAAUAGACCAUAAAGCAUGAAGAGAUUUCGGUUUGAGUGGUGUUAGAGGGUUAUUUCUUUAUGUCACUCUGUUUAGUGUUGACCAGUAGCAAUGCUGUUAGUGCUGAAAGGCAUUUGAGUGUUUUGGAUAGGUUUUUGGUUCACUUGCCAUAGUUGUGUUUACUAGCCAGCAGGACCAGCAUGUCAUGUAUGGGGGCAUAUGUGGGAUUUUGUAAUACUUUGUGACCUUGAGAAAAGAGUAUAGGGUCCACCGCCGCUGGAAUCUUGGCCUAGACUGGAUCAAAAGCUGUUCCCAAUCUGUAAUCCCAAAAUUAACCUGCCCCAGAGCAUGUUAGGAUAAAUCAUAAGUUGCCAUGGCAGCAGAUCUUGGUAGAGAGUGAUCCAUCAUCAUAAGGUUCUGGAGUCUAAGCCAGACAUCCUGCACCGUGAGACUCAGGUUGACACCCAAACUCUGAAUAUGUCCUUUGAUUAUCAUUACAAUGGACUGUUAUAAAAGAUCUACGACCUACAAAGACAAGCCUGUCACGCAAGCCGUGAUGCUGACCUCUAGUGGUAAUUCCCUGAUAGUGCAGCUCAAACCCAGCACAGCUCUGCACUGCACAUUUUUGUGUUUUCUCAUUGAAAAUGAGAUCUAUGUAAUUUACUGAGAUCUAUAUAUCUUCCAUCCACACACCACAUGGAUGAUUAUCAUUUUACAUUCAUGCCAUUCAUAUCUACCUUGUCUGUUGAUUUGGCUGGAUUUACUCCAAAUAUCUGCACUAAUAGUGAUUGGCAGCUGUAUCAGAUACAUUUGACUUGAAAGUUAGUCUACUUAGCUAAAUUUAUGAGCUCAAAGAAGUACGAGAUCAAACUUUGAUGAAAAACAUUCCCAAAAUAACAGGAUUUCUUAGUUCACUGCUAUCUGAGGCGUCACCAUGAGUUUGAUCCUUUAGCUAAGAUGCAGCAUUAACACUAGACUGACUAGUUUCUUCCUCUGAAACUGAUGUGGAUUGAAAGUGUCAUUUUAAAGAAAUGGGAAUGUUUGGGACAUUACUGAACACAUUUCUGCCAAGAAAAGGAGAAGAAAGAGUGAACUGUAAGCUUGGUCUUUGUCACAUUUUGUAAAACGCUUAUUAAAAAGCACUGAACUGAAAAAGGCAGCAGGACUAAAACACAGGUCUUUGGCCUUAAUUACUGUCUGUACAGAGAAAAUAAGUGCUCUACACAAUGCUCUUUAUCCGUGACAGGAAUCGACCGUAAUAACACCCUGCCAAGAUGAAAUUAGGCCUAUAAUUGAUUCUUUCUUUGCAAUUCAAGUCACAGUGCUGACCUCUAGUGGUAUAGCUUGGCUCUGGUGUUUUGCAGUCCCUUUACAGUUCAUAUUUUAGUGCUUUGUGCUACAACGCUUGAGAGUCAGUUGGUAUAGUCUAGUAUGCAAGACUGCCAAAGAGCAGCUAAAGUUGCAAACACACCACACUAAGUAAGAGUCCUUUGGCAAGACUCCUAACGCUACAAUUGCUUUGGAUAAGAGCAUCUGCCAUUUUAUUCUGUGAUUGAUGUCAAAACACACACACACACACAUUUUCUAAGCCGCUUCUCCCUCAGGGUCGCGGGGAUGUCAAAACAAUGGCUUAUUAUUUCUAAACUAUAACUGCAUGGUGAAAUAUUGACUUAUUAUA
Long non-coding RNA from Pygocentrus nattereri (red-bellied piranha), 3403 nucleotides. The record is from Ensembl. NCBI's taxonomy places the organism in Eukaryota, Metazoa, Chordata, Actinopteri, Characiformes, Serrasalmidae.